GUCUCUGAUGAUGAUUAGUUGAAAAACUUUCGUUCUUCUGAUAAUAGAUCAUGAGGAAUGCUUUGGAGACCUGAACUGAAGAGAC
Molecule: small nucleolar RNA, 85 nt
Organism: Vitis vinifera (wine grape)
Lineage: Eukaryota; Viridiplantae; Streptophyta; Magnoliopsida; Vitales; Vitaceae
Rfam family: Small nucleolar RNA Z159/U59
About the family: This family consists of several snoRNA Z159 or U59 sequences which are members of the C/D class of snoRNA which contain the C (UGAUGA) and D (CUGA) box motifs. This family seems to be found exclusively in rice.
Source: Rfam